AGAAAUCUCUCUCAGUUCUUCGAGUAAUUUAUGGUGAGAGCUCUUCAUUUCUUCAUCAUUUGCUGGGGCAGAAAGUUUCUCCAAAGUGGCUAAUGCAAACUCUAGGAUCUUCCCUAGAUAAUCCAUAUCUAAAGUUCCUGAUCUCAGCACCUAAUAUCAACAUCAAUAGUCUCAACAAUCUCCUGUCUCCAAGUCUGAGGAGACAUCUCACAUAGCUCAUCCCUAACUUCCUGAAUGAGUUUAAGAAUCCAACUAAAAUCAGGCUCAUCCUGUUUGACAGACUCCAUAAUACUAUCCCAAAAAGCCUUUUCAAUU
RNAcentral lists this unclassified non-coding RNA (315 nucleotides) under Hevea brasiliensis (rubber tree). The record is from RNAcentral. Lineage: Eukaryota; Viridiplantae; Streptophyta; Magnoliopsida; Malpighiales; Euphorbiaceae.